AGAUUGAACGCUGGCGGCAGGCCUAACACAUGCAAGUCGAGCGGUAGAGAGGUGCUUGCACCUCUUGAGAGCGGCGGACGGGUGAGUAAUGCCUAGGAAUCUGCCUAGUGGUGGGGGAUAACGUUCGGAAACGGACGCUAAUACCGCAUACGUCCUACGGGAGAAAGCGGGGGACCUUCGGGCCUCGCGCCAUUAGAUGAGCCUAGGUCGGAUUAGCUAGUUGGUGAGGUAAUGGCUCACCAAGGCGACGAUCCGUAACUGGUCUGAGAGGAUGAUCAGUCACACUGGAACUGAGACACGGUCCAGACUCCUACGGGAGGCAGCAGUGGGGAAUAUUGGACAAUGGGCGAAAGCCUGAUCCAGCCAUACCGCGUGUGUGAAAGAAGGUCUUCGGAUUGAAAGCAACUUUAAGUUGGAAGGAAGGGUUGUAACUUAAUACGUUGCAACUUUGACGUUACGACAGAAUAAGCACCGGCUAACUUCGUGCCAGCAGCCG
Molecule: ribosomal RNA, 496 nt
Filed under: uncultured soil bacterium
Lineage: Bacteria
Description: bacterial SSU rRNA
Rfam family: Bacterial small subunit ribosomal RNA
Source: RNAcentral